GUCCCGGAAACAGGGAAGGAUGAAGGUAAAGGAACACUCGCUACUCCGCAAAAUUCAGAAUGGUGGUUACCUGGCGGGGGAUGAAGAAUUGCCCUUGUGAGACGAAAUGAAGGGUUCAGUGGAGAGCAGAGCACCUGGUGCAUCUCAGGCUUCUAGAGGCUGCCCCGUUCCUUGGCUUUCCUCCGUCUUCACAGCUUACAGCGAGCAUCCCCCUCUGACCAUUCUUCACUAGUCACAUCUGCUUGGACUGCAGCUGGGGAAGCUUCUCCACUUCUAAGGAUUCAUGUACCCACUUGGAUAAUUCAGGAUAACCUCGCCAUCCCAAGGUUUCUAACCUUAAUCACAUCUGCUAAGUCCCUUCUGCCACAUAGCCAAGAAAAAGGUACAUCACUGCCACAUCACUCAUCCCUCUGAGCACUCCUGGCACGUGCUUACCUCAUUCCUCCCAGUGUGGAGGUCAUCGCCCUGAGAGACAUCUGUCCAGGUGUGCCACUGCACCACCCUCACCAGGACAACAAAGUGCUCACGUGACUGGCCUGGGUCCUGGGGGAAGGGCAGCAGGAGUGAGGGACAGGGCCCCCUGCACCCCAAAGCCACUAUUGGAAUUAGAAAGUAGAAGGACGUAGAGAGCAAGAUGGAGUCACUCAUGUCAAGCAGGGGCCUGUGCGGAGCAAUGACGCCAGCCGUUAAGGGUACCUCGGCUACGAGAUAUCCACCAGCUGACCACGCUCCAGAGCUGAUAACAAGCAGGAGCUGAGACUGUCAGACUCUUGAGCCAUGACCCCUCUAUGCCUGGCCACUUAAAAAAGGCAGCGGCCCCCGAAGGCUCUGCCUGUUGGAUCCCCCAACAGAACUGAGAUCCUUCGCCGCUUGAACAGAAUAAGAAGCAGUAAGUGCCAAGAGCUGACCCGGGACUAGGCCCAGGUCUCAUCUCAACGGUGCACCCACAGACUGAUUCCGCGUUUUUUCUUUUUUUCUUCAUUAACUUCCUCCCCCCUCUGUUAUCUUGUUUGUUGUGUGAUUUGUGUUCUGCUCUGCGUGCCAUGUAAGAAGCCAAGUUAGUCACGUGGUGAAAUGUCAUUGAGUUUGGAAUUCUGAACCUGCUCUAUAAUUAUGUGAGCCUUGCUUUAUGACUGAAUAAAGCUGACAUUGUGGAAAGACACAUUUUGUGUGUGUGCCUUCCUAGUGUGCCCGUGACAGAGGGAGGGACCUCUGAAAUUAUCGUGCCAGGCCUCCUCCCUUAACCCUCGGGGAAAAUGAGGCUCAAAGAGGGACAUCAAGUCUUGAAACCGAUCCACAGAGUUAGAACCAGAUCUUAGGUCCCCUGACAGGUGGGCCUGGGUGCUUUCCACUUUCCUGGACUCCCUGCUUUUACCCCGAAUUUCUGAGAGCUGGGGAGGACAUGUUGAUAGUCGGCAACAUCACCCUCGGCAUCCCCAUGGGACCUCUGUCAAGUGCCAAGGUGUGUCCCAGCUGAAUAUUUAAAUAUGCCAUCUCCCUGAAUAUUGUCCUUGGCACUUGGAAGGAAGUGCCAUUAGGAUCCCCAUUUUACAGAUGAGGAAGCUGAGGCUCAGAGAGAUGAUGUCAUUUGCUCAAGGUCACACAGCUGGAAGCAGAACACCUAGGGUUUGAUCCCGUGUCUGUCAGAUUCCAGAGUCUGUGUUCUUAUCUGUUCCCUUGCCUCCUCAUUUUCAGAUGCUCAGAUUUGGUGCAUGAUUUAUUCCUAUUAAAAAAGGGAGAAGAGGGGCG
This is a long non-coding RNA of Mirounga angustirostris (Northern elephant seal), 1749 nucleotides long. RefSeq lists it as uncharacterized. The record is from RefSeq and is a predicted model, not a curated record. NCBI's taxonomy places the organism in Eukaryota, Metazoa, Chordata, Mammalia, Carnivora, Phocidae. The transcript is spliced from 5 exons.